Marmota flaviventris (yellow-bellied marmot) is the source of this 1044-nucleotide long non-coding RNA. RefSeq lists it as uncharacterized. Lineage: Eukaryota; Metazoa; Chordata; Mammalia; Rodentia; Sciuridae. The record is from RefSeq and is a predicted model, not a curated record.
CACAGCCCUCUCUCCCGGAUGAGGUGCCGUUUCCCCUUCGUCGAGGUAACAAGUUCAACAAGGCUCCCCUCCUGCCAUGGCCCAGGCAGCCCCGAAUGAUACACUGUUGCCCGGGGAUGCCCGCCGAGAGCUAAUGCACUGUCAGUUCUGCCGGCUGGAGUGGCCCGAGGGGCACCCGAGCCAGGCCGCUGAGUGCGCGCCCCGUAAAGAUGCUGGAGGAGCUGAUACCAGGAGUCAGAGGCACCAACAUCUGUAAAGAAGUCAUGUCCAUGCUGCACAAGAGAGGAGUCUGUCCAUCCUCACAUUUGACUUCAAGUAGCCAUGGAGGGCAUCCUUGUUGGGACUACCAAAAAGCACAAGAUUCUCUCCAAAGAGCAGGUGGUCACUGUUCAUGAGUCGGCAUCCUUGGCUGGCUGGCUGCUGGAGCACACGGAGGCUGUGGUGAACGCAGGUUGCAGGCCCCAGCACCACAGGACUGACAUGGGUGCGAGCUGAGUGCACAUGUUGGAAACCUCUUGUGGAGUCAUGAACUUGAUGAGAACUUAUUGCAAUUACCGGGGAUGGAACCCAGAGGUGUUUUAACACUGUGCCACAGCCCCAUCCUUUUUAUUUUUUGCAACAGGGUCUAAGUUGUUUAGGGACUUCUGGCUUUGAACUUGUGAUCCUCCUGCCUCAGCCUCCUGAGCUGCUAGACAUGUGCCAUCACACUGUGCCAACUGGUGGUAUUAUAAGGAGCUUCCAGAAAGUGAGUGGAUCAUGAAUGUAGAUUGUUGUUGAGUGACCAAUAAGGAAGCUGUGACUAUUGGGAAGUGAGUGCCCAUUCUCGGUUGAGGGCAUGGCUUCCAAUUGUACCCUCCAGGAGGACUGGUGUGGCACUGAAACAAGUGGCAGGAGCCUGUGCAGGUGCACCUUGAAAGGGUAGCUACUCUGUGCUCCACCCUCAUUUCACACUGCAGAAAAGUAAACUCUGCAGUCAAGGGCCAGCUGCCCCACCAGGGGUAGUUUCUCUGCCUUUUUUAAAAAAUAUUUUUUUAGUUGUUAAUA